RNAcentral lists this ribosomal RNA (490 nucleotides) under uncultured bacterium. RNAcentral's name for it is "partial 16S ribosomal RNA". It matches the Rfam family "Bacterial small subunit ribosomal RNA", at positions 28 to 507 of the family's 1533-position model. The record is from RNAcentral.
GAUGAACGCUAGCUACAGGCUUAACACAUGCAAGUCGCGGGGCAGCAUGGGGGUUGCUUGCAAUCCCCGAUGGCGACCGGCGCACGGGUGAGUAACGCGUAUCCAACCUGCCCUUCACCACGGGAUAACCCGGCGAAAGUCGGACUAAUACCGUAUGUUGUCCAUUGACGGCCUCCGAUUUGGACGAAAGGUUUGGCGGUGAAGGAUGGGGAUGCGUCCGAUUAGCUGGACGGCGGGGUGACGGCCCACCGUGGCGACGAUCGGUAGGGGUUCUGAGAGGAAGGUCCCCCACACUGGAACUGAGACACGGCCCAGACUCCUACGGGAGGCAGCAGUGAGGAAUAUUGGUCAAUGGGCGUAAGCCUGAACCAGCCAAGUAGCGUGCAGGAUGACGGCCCUAUGGGUCGUAAACUGCUUUUAUGCGGGGAUAAAGUGGCCCACGUGUGGGUUUUUGCAGGUACCGCAUGAAUAAGGACCGGCUAAUUCCGUG